This 401-nucleotide ribosomal RNA is filed under the name uncultured bacterium. RNAcentral describes it as "partial 16S ribosomal RNA". It matches the Rfam family "Bacterial small subunit ribosomal RNA", at positions 338 to 731 of the family's 1533-position model. The record is from RNAcentral.
CCUACGGGAGGCAGCAGUGGGGAAUAUUGCGCAAUGGGCGAAAGCCUGACGCAGCGACGCCGCGUGAGGGAUGAAGGUCUUCGGAUCGUAAACCUCUGUCAGCAGGGAAGAACGGUCACUGUGUUAAUCAGCAGUGAAUUGACGGUACCUGCAGAGGAAGCACCGGCUAACUCCGUGCCAGCAGCCGCGGUAAUACGGAGGGUGCGAGCGUUAAUCGGAAUUUUUGGGUUUAAAGGGUGCGUAGGUUGUUUUUUAAGUCAGCGGUGAAGGGUUGUGGCUCAACCAUAGAAUUGCCGUUGAAACUGGAAGACUUGAGUGUGUUUGAGGUAGGCGGAAUGCGAGGUGGAGCGGUGAAAUGCAUAGAUAUCACGCGGAACUCCGAUGGCGAAGGCGGCUUACUA